GAAGGAGUAAAAACUUCUUACGGAGAUAAAUUAAUUUUGGAAAGAAUAGUCUCUGGCGGUACCUCACCUAACUAGAGGGGCAUGCCCUGUAUAUCGAAUCUGCACGAAUUACCCUUCACACCCUGGAAUAACCCACUUUGCACACCACUGUCUGAAAGAAGUCGUGGACUUCUUACCCCCUCAGAAGGGAGUAAGGCAAGCACACGUGUAGGCUAUGGGUGUUGAAAGUGUGUGCUCCAAUCAGAAGGAUUCAUUUACCUUUUUAAAUGAGGUAAGGGGAGAGAAUUUAGAAGUAAAUGGGGUUUACAAGCCCCUAUUGAAUGGGGCUCUGAGGUACGU
This 339-nucleotide ribosomal RNA is filed under the name Quadraceps obtusus. RNAcentral's name for it is "partial 12S ribosomal RNA". Lineage: Eukaryota; Metazoa; Arthropoda; Insecta; Psocodea; Philopteridae. The record is from RNAcentral.